RNAcentral lists this long non-coding RNA (1265 nucleotides) under Fragaria vesca (wild strawberry). RNAcentral's name for it is "long non-coding RNA (FVES_LNC005181)". The record is from RNAcentral. Lineage: Eukaryota; Viridiplantae; Streptophyta; Magnoliopsida; Rosales; Rosaceae.
AGAGAGAGAGAGUAAAAAGAUUAACUAGGGCUAUUUUAGUCAUUUUGGUCGAGAUUGAUGUCAUUUUAAAAGUUUAGGUAUAAAACUGAUUCAAAAAAAAGAUGAGGUAUCAGACUGAUUUUAGACCUAAAGUUCAGGGUAGUAAACUGAAAUUUUUCCUAUGAGUAAUUAUCUCAAUUACAACAAAAUUUACCUAAAGUAAGGUAUUAGUUACAAGAUAAAGGACUUUAUUAAACAAACAACUUAUUUACCAUAGGUGCAUUAGUUUUACUACUAUUAUGACAAUUUGUUGUCAGAUUGGUAAAAUGGUUAUCGAACUUGUAAUUGAAAAAAUUACUACAAAUACAAGUUUGAUUACUACUUUUUUCAUAAUUUGUCGACUUACGAAUCAAAUGGUACUCAUACAAAGAAUUACCACAAAAUGGAUCCUGAUUACUACUUUCCACCUUAGUUGUUGAUAAACUAUGUAGAAACGUAGUCACAUAAUUCAAAACUCCUUGGAGGACAAUAAUUACAAUAUAAUGAUCCCAACUACACCAUAUAAAGGACUCAACGAUUACUCAUAUUAUUAACAGUUUACUAGUAUAACAACACAUUCGUUGUUUUAUUGGUGUACAUGUUCUCUAAACUUAUAAUGAUGAAGUUUGAACACUUUUACCAUGAUACAUUAUCUCGAACCGUAUCGACUUUUUUUUUCUUUUAUUUAAGAUAGUCGAAUCGGUAAUCUUCAAUCGUUACAGUGAAGUUUGACACUAUCAUGAACUGAUUGAACGCUUCAUUUACUUUAUGCGUGUAUCUGAGCACAACCCCCUCCUAUAUAUGCCCUUUGUGUAGGUACAAAUUCUUGUAGGCAACAUCAAGGUACUCCUGGUUUGAUUUUUCAAGUUGAAGAACACUCUUCAUGAUCUCAUAGAAGAAUAAUGGAACAAAUAUUUGGAGACACGACUGGUGAAUCAACACCUUUAGGGGUCGUUUUCAUAUUUUGGACAUAACCCACUUGAGCGAGUUCAGAGCAGAUGCCCAUCCAUCCGCAACUGCUGAAGUAUAAUGAUUAUAUAUAUACAAGGCCAUUCUAUUGAGGGAUCCCUAUUUUUGGCCACUUUUAGGGAUAGGCUCACACCAUUGGAUCUGUCAUUUAAUGAGGUUGGAUGGCUGAGAUUAAAACAAAAAGUUACACACUUUAUAUCAAACCUGGACCGUUCAAGAUCAUUAAAAAUAAAUCGAAGUUUUGAAUGGGUUAACGAUCACUAAAUUAUCUGAAAAUU